GGGGUUUUUUAAAAUGCUGGGGGUGGGAAGAAAAGCCCUUGUCCCCCCCCCCCAGCCUUCAGAAGAGGUCGGGGGACAGACUGUCCCCGGACCUGGUCUGAAGUCGGUUUCCCUAGGAACGCAUUAAUUGAUUUUCAAUGCAUUCCUAUGGGAAACCGUGCAUCGCAAGACGAAAAACUCGCAAGAAGAAAAAACUUGCGGAACGAAUUAAUUUCGUCUUGCGAGGCACCACUGUAC
Podarcis lilfordi (Lilford's wall lizard) is the source of this 237-nucleotide non-coding RNA. The record is from the annotation of a GenBank genome assembly. Lineage: Eukaryota; Metazoa; Chordata; Lepidosauria; Squamata; Lacertidae.